UCGUACGAACGGAGGAGAGCUUGCUCUCCAAUGUUAGUGGCGAACGGGUGCGUAACACGUGAGCAACUUGCCCUUCGGUGGGGGAUAGCCGGCCCAACGGCCGGGUAAUACCGCGUAUUGCAUCGUCAUCGCAUGGUGAUGAUGUGAAAGCGGCCGCAAGGUCGCGCCGAGGGAGAGGCUCGCGGCGUAUCAGCUUGUUGGUGGGGUAACGGCCUACCAAGGCUACGACGCGUAGCUGGUCUGAGAGGAUGAUCAGCCACAUUGGGACUGAGAUACGGCCCAGACUCCUACGGGAGGCAGCAGUGGGGAAUAUUGCGCAAUGGCCGCAAGGCUGACGCAGCGACGCCGUGUGUGGGAUGAAGGCUUUCGGGUUGUAAACCACUGUCAGGAGGGACGAAUACUCGGCUUCAAAUAGUUGACCGAGGGUGACGGUACCUCCAAAGGAAGCACCGGCUAACUCCGUGCCAGCAGCCGCGGUAACACGGAGGGUGCGAGCGUUGUCCGGAUUCACUGGGCGUAAAGCGCACGUAGGCGGCUUUGUAAGUCAUUUGUGAAAUCCCGGGGCUCA
RNAcentral lists this ribosomal RNA (568 nucleotides) under uncultured bacterium. RNAcentral describes it as "bacterial SSU rRNA". It matches the Rfam family "Bacterial small subunit ribosomal RNA", at positions 62 to 611 of the family's 1533-position model. The record is from RNAcentral.